CCGGUUUGAACCUCGGUCUCCAAACCAGCAUGUAAACCCACAACGUCCUCGGUUCCAAGCUCCAAAUCAACAACCUACCGGGCGGUUUGAUCCUCAGUCUCCAAACCAGCCUCCAAGUGCACCAAGGCCUCAGUUCCCAAACCAACAACCUGCAGGGCGGUUUGAUCCUCAGUUUCCAAACCAGCCUCCAGGUCCACCACGGCGUCAGUUCCCAGACCAAGCUCCAAAUCAGCAACCUACAGGGCGGUUUAAUCCUCAGUUUCCAAACCAGUCUCGAAGUCCACCACAGUCUCCGUUCCCAGACCAAGCUC
This 311-nucleotide long non-coding RNA is filed under the name Arabidopsis lyrata. Its description in RNAcentral is "long non-coding RNA (ALYR_LNC003151)". Lineage: Eukaryota; Viridiplantae; Streptophyta; Magnoliopsida; Brassicales; Brassicaceae. The record is from RNAcentral.